Molecule: ribosomal RNA, 565 nt
Filed under: uncultured bacterium
Lineage: Bacteria
Description: bacterial SSU rRNA
Rfam family: Bacterial small subunit ribosomal RNA
Source: RNAcentral
AUAUUGGACAUGGGGGAAACCCUGNUCCAGCAACGCCGCGUGGGUGAUGAAGCAUCUUGGUGUGUAAAACCCUGUCAGUGGGGACGAAACGUUGGAGGAGGAAAUGCCUUCGACCUGACUGUACCCGCAGAGGAAGUUCCGGCCAACUCCGUGCCAGCAGCCGCGGUAAUACCGGGGGGAACGAGCGUUGUUCGGAUUUACUGGGCGUAAAGGGCACGCAGGCGGGAAGACAAGUCAGAUGUGAAACCCCGAAGCUUAACUCCGGGCCUGCAUUUGAAACUGUUUUUCUUGAGUACGGGAGAGGAUGAUAGAAUUCUUGGUGUAGCGGUGAAAUGCGUAGAUAUCAAGAGGAAUACCGGUGGCGAAGGCGGUCAUCUGGCCCGAUACUGACGCUCAGGUGCGAAGGCCGGGGGAGCAAACAGGAUUAGAUACCCUGGUAGUCCCGGCAGUAAACCAUGGAUACUAGGUGUUGGCGGUAUCGACUCCGCCAGUGCCGCAGCUAACGCAUUAAGUAUCCCGCCUGGGGAGUACGCUCGCAAGAGUGAAACUCAAAAAAAUUGACGGA